Molecule: non-coding RNA, 853 nt
Organism: Pelobates cultripes (western spadefoot toad)
Lineage: Eukaryota; Metazoa; Chordata; Amphibia; Anura; Pelobatidae
Source: the annotation of a GenBank genome assembly
CCCAUUAUUUACCAGAUUAAUGGUUAAAGUCUGGUAUGACUGAGAUAAUUUUGCUAAGAGGUGUAGCUAAGGAUGUGGGGUUGAGGUGACAUAGCUUAUGUCUGUAUGUAUCCUAUAUUGCUAUAGGGAUGGCCAUGGUAGAGAGUAUUUUUGUCACGGAAGAGUGGUAUGCUUUCUGUGACAAUACCAAGGAUGUUAAACAAAGUCUUUCAGUCUAUCAUGCCUCUAUCAAUACCUAUUGUGGUGCAUGUAGGGAUACAUGUGCCAAGACAAUACUUUUUAGAAUCACCGCUUUGUAUUAGAGGGCAAUAUUAGGAAGUCCCAUUCUCCCUUGUAACAUUGGCUUACAUAGAGUGUUGGCAGCUAUUCUCAGUUUUGUCUUCCACUCUAUAUAAACUUGUUUAUGGAAGUUUGUAAAUGUUUGAAAAAAAAAAGGAUUUUGAAACUUGGAAGGGUAAAGUAAAUAUUGAAGUUUUGAUAUAAUUGUCAAAUUUUGUGGUUGCUAUGAGACCUGACCAUGUUAACAUUUUACCUUUCAAACUCUCAAAUAGUUUAGUAAUCUCCCUGCUUAGGGUAUUGUAAUUUAGGUGGAAAAGUUGGGAUAAGAAAUUUGAUAGUAACACUCCUAGUAGGUUAUUGCUUUCUUUUUCCACUCAUAGUUUUAUUUGGCCUUCAAGAGUUGAAGGUCACUGUCAUUUAUUCCAUAAACUCCUACUGGUAGUGACAUGUGCAAGGGUGCUAUUGAGCUCAAGAUAACUGUGGAGAGAACUGAAUUCUGUGUAAGACUGCUUGGAGGAAAGACCAGUGAAGAUGUUCUAACUGAAGAUGAAAAGAUCCAUACUGAAAAGAAGUG